UAGGGAAUAUUGGGCAAUGGCGGAAACGCUGACCCAGCCAUGCCGCGUGCAGGAUGAAGGCCUUCUGGGUUGUAAACUGCUUUUACCAGGGAAGAAAAUACCUUUGCGAAGGGAACUGACGGUACCUGGUGAAUAAGCACCGGCUAACUCCGUGCCAGCAGCCGCGGUAAUACGGAGGGUGCAAGCGUUGUCCGGAUUUAUUGGGUUUAAAGGGUGCGUAGGCGGCUUGAUAAGUCCGUGGUGAAAGCCAACAGCUCAACUGUUGAACUGCCAUGGAUACUGUCAGGCUUGAGUACAGACGAGGUAGGCGGAAUGGAUCGUGUAGCGGUGAAAUGCAUAGAUACGAUCCAGAACUCCGAUUGCGAAGGCAGCUUACUAGGCUGUAACUGACGCUGAGGCACGAAAGCGUGGGGAGCGAACAGG
RNAcentral lists this ribosomal RNA (423 nucleotides) under uncultured bacterium. Its description in RNAcentral is "bacterial SSU rRNA". It matches the Rfam family "Bacterial small subunit ribosomal RNA", at positions 355 to 776 of the family's 1533-position model. The record is from RNAcentral.